GCUUGGGUGACAGGUCGCGGCGUUACGGUGUUAAGAGCAAUAACCUGAUAGGUAGCGGCGUGUGAUUACUCGUCGCACCCAUCUAGACGUUUGUCAGCUACCAUGGAUCCAUCGAGAAGCAUUCCCCAAGACACCUUUGAGCAGCCUGAGGAAUCAAAGCUGGGGAGGAAAAUCCGGGAGUCCCCUUUCAUGGUGGCAGGUCUGGGAGGUCUGGUGGGAAUUGUUGGCUACAAUUUGUACCAGUUGAAAAACAAGCCAAAGGAGGUGCCACUGUCUUUGUACCUCAUCC
Long non-coding RNA from Pollicipes pollicipes, 289 nucleotides. RefSeq lists it as uncharacterized. NCBI's taxonomy places the organism in Eukaryota, Metazoa, Arthropoda, Thecostraca, Pollicipedomorpha, Pollicipedidae. The record is from RefSeq and is a predicted model, not a curated record. The transcript is spliced from 3 exons.